This 552-nucleotide long non-coding RNA is filed under the name Ananas comosus (pineapple). RNAcentral describes it as "long non-coding RNA (ACOM_LNC039776)". Lineage: Eukaryota; Viridiplantae; Streptophyta; Magnoliopsida; Poales; Bromeliaceae. The record is from RNAcentral.
AAGUAGCAAAGAGCUUGGUGGUUGGUACGUGUGAUUUCAAAUUCGAAUUCUAAUUAAUUCAUAUUUUCAGCUAAAUUUAUUUUUUUAAAAAAUAAACGAAAUGAGUAGUAUGCUAUAUUUUUCUCAAAAAAAAAAAAUCAGUACUAUGAUUCUUCAAAAAACUUUGAUAGCACUAUAUAUAUAUAUUAUCGAUAGUAUCAAGUUCUCGGUACUCAACUGCACAUCCUUUCGUCCAAGGGCCGAAAAUUCGAUAGUACCAACUGUUUGGUACUAUCGAUAAUAUAGUAGCAAAAUUCUAUAUAUAUAUAUAUAUAUAUAUAGAGUACAGCUCGGGUACUAUCGAUAGCACCAAAGAUUUGGUGCGAUCGAGUUUUCCAUCUUAGAUUUAACCAUUUGAUUAUAUUUAUCCGUUAGAUUAUACUAUUGAACUAACCACUCACUAAACCCUUCGGGCCCACAUCAUCCUAACCGUCCAUUUCUCAAUCCAAGGGCUAAAAAAUUAAUAGCACCGAUAGCUUGUUGCUAUUGAUAGUAUUCCAGCUUAGAUAUAUA